RNAcentral lists this ribosomal RNA (365 nucleotides) under Galene bispinosa. Its description in RNAcentral is "partial 12S ribosomal RNA". The record is from RNAcentral. Lineage: Eukaryota; Metazoa; Arthropoda; Malacostraca; Decapoda; Galenidae.
UAUUACACUAAAAGGUAAUAAUAAAGGAGGCCUGAUUAUUUAUAGUUAUUUUCUUGAAAAUUGAAGAAUUUGGCGGUGAUUUAGUCUUGUCAGAGGAAUUUGUUUUUUAAUCGAUAAACCACGCAAUAUCUUACUCAUUUUUGUUUUCAGCUUAUAUACCGUCAUUAUCAGAUAAUCUUACAAAAAGGUAAUUAUUGAAUUUUAUAAAUAGUGGAAAUUAGAUCAAGGUGUAGCUAAUAAAUGAGUUAAAAUGAAUUACAAUAAGUUUUAUUUAUAGACGGAUUUAUUAAUGAAAAUUAAUAAUAAAGGUGGAUUUGAUUGUAAUAAGAGUUUAAUAAGCUUGAAAGAUAUAGGUUCUAAAUCAU